Molecule: ribosomal RNA, 1701 nt
Filed under: Protopolystoma xenopodis
Lineage: Eukaryota; Metazoa; Platyhelminthes; Monogenea; Polystomatidea; Polystomatidae
Description: partial 28S ribosomal RNA
Rfam family: Eukaryotic large subunit ribosomal RNA
Source: RNAcentral
CUAAGCGGAGGAAAAGAAACUAACCAGGAUUCCCCUAGUAACGGCGAGUGAACGGGGAUCAGCCCAGCACCGAAGCCUGCGUUCAUUUGGGCGUAAGGCACUGUGGUGUUAAGGUGGUUGCAUGUUGGUGCCUCUGCUGUCCCAAGUCCAGUAAUGAAUAUGGCUAUAUUAACGGCCCAUAGAGGGUGAAAGGCCCGUGGGGACAGUGUGCCUAUACAGGGGUGCUGACUGCGGCUACUCUGGAGUCGGGUUGUUUGUGAAUGCAGCCCAAAGUGGGUGGUAGACUCCAUCCAAGGCUAAAUACAGGCACGAGUCCGAUAGCGAACAAGUACCGUGAGGGAAAGUUGAAAAGCACUCUGAAGAGAGAGUAAACAGCGCGUGAAACCGCUCAGAGGUAAACGGGUGUAGUCAAGCUGCAAGCCUUUGGGGAUUCAGCCGGUCAGUAUGACGUGAGCAUGAGCACAAUUGUUGGCCUGUGGAGUCCGCCGAGAUAGGCGGGCCCGGUUCUUUCAGGGAAUCGGGUACCUUGUAUGGCGUACUGUCAUUGGUAGCUCUACUUGACCCAGCUGCUGGCCGGCGCACUUUCUCAGGGUGUAAGCCACGACCGCCGUUAGUUUGCCAGUCUGCCAGGGCCAAUUGACCUGGUUGAGCUUUUCAUGGUUCAGCCUGGUUCGGGAUGGCAGGUGGCUUGGUGGAGGUAUUCAUCUCUGCCGAGUGUUACAGCCGGCCCUGGUGGCUUUUAAAACUGUGCAGUGCGGUGGAGUUGUCGACGUGUUGGCAACGGUGAGUGUGCUAUAGCCUGCCGGCGCGUGGCAAGUCUGGUCGCCUGUUGUUGAGUCAAUUCGACCUGGUGGCGGCUUGCUCGUGGUGUUGUAGGCGGCGGCACUUGCUAGCCGGGCUGUGCAUGACAGAGUUUUGCAAUGAUGGAGGUGUUUUGGACUUUUCUGCCCGAUUCUAUCUCUGUUGUCGUUGCUCUGUUGUGUAUGUCCAAUACAUUUGUCGUCUAUAGUCUGUGGCGUAGUGGUAGACGAUCCACCCGACCCGUCUUGAAACACGGACCAAGGAGUUUAACAUGUGCGCAAGUCAAUGGGUGUGGAAAUCACAAGUACACGAAACCCAGAGGCGCAGUGAAAGUGAAGGUGUUGGCUUUUCUGCUGGCUGAUUACUUUCUGAUCGUUCUGCUUCUGUCACGUUGCAGUUGAUCGUCUCUACCAUAUGACAUCAUUCGUCACGCAUCUAUCUGUUCGUACGUUCGUACGUGCCUGGCCGUUUUAACGGAUCUGUCCACCGUGCAUCUGCUAUGUGGCUGGUUAGUGGACGGUCAGGUCGGACGACGGACGGCUGGUAUUUGUAAUGUUCGUCUGGUAGAUUGUGAUAGAUUUGGUUGACAGUAAACGUGCAGGCCGGCGGGCGGUCGAGAGGACAGUUAGCGGGCCAGACUGAGGUGAGAUCCCGUCGGCACCUGAGCUGACCUGAUCAUGCAUUGGACCGAUGGGCGCAUCACCGGCCCGUCCCAUGGUGUGCUACACCGGGGCGGAGCAAGAGCGUACAUGUUGAGACCCGAAAGAUGGUGAACUAUGCUUGCGCAGGUUGAAGCCGGAGGAAACUCUGGUGGAGGACCGUAGCGAUUCUGACGUGCAAAUCGAUCGUAUGACGUGAGUAUAGGGGCGAAAGACUAAUCGAACCAUCUAGUAGCUGGUU